RNAcentral lists this non-coding RNA (32 nucleotides) under Geobacter sulfurreducens KN400. The record is from RNAcentral. Lineage: Bacteria; Pseudomonadati; Thermodesulfobacteriota; Desulfuromonadia; Geobacterales; Geobacteraceae.
AUCUGAAGAGGCGAACAGCUUGGACGCUCUCC